Molecule: ribosomal RNA, 451 nt
Filed under: uncultured bacterium
Lineage: Bacteria
Description: partial 16S ribosomal RNA
Rfam family: Bacterial small subunit ribosomal RNA
Source: RNAcentral
AGCGAACGCUGGCGGCAGGCUUAACACAUGCAAGUCGAGCGGCCGUAGCAAUACGGCAGCGGCAGACGGGAGAGUAACACGUGGGAACGUACCCUUCAGUACGGAACAACCAAGGGAAACUUUGGCUAAUACCGCAUACGUCCGUAAGGAGAAAGAUUGAUCGCUGAAGGAUCGGCCCGCGUCUGAUUAGCUAGUUGGUGAGGUAACGGCUCACCAAGGCGACGAUCAGUAGCUGGUCUGAGAGGAUGAUCAGCCUCACUGGGACUGAGACACGGCCCAGACUCCUACGGGAGGCAGCAGUGGGGAAUAUUGGACAAUGGGCGCAGGCCUGAUCCAGCCAUGCCGCGUGGAUGAUGAAGGCCCUAGGGUUGUAAAGUCCUUUUAACGGGGAAGAUAAUGACGGUACCCGUAGAAUAAGCCCCGGCUAACUUCGUGCCAGCCGCCGCCGUAA